This 440-nucleotide ribosomal RNA is filed under the name uncultured bacterium. RNAcentral describes it as "partial 16S ribosomal RNA". It matches the Rfam family "Bacterial small subunit ribosomal RNA", at positions 338 to 795 of the family's 1533-position model. The record is from RNAcentral.
CCUACGGGUGGCAGCAGUGGGGAAUAUUGCACAAUGGAGGGAACUCUGAUGCAGCGACGCCGCGUGAGUGAAGAAGUAAUUCGUUAUGUAAAGCUCUAUCAGCAGGGAAGAAAGUGACGGUACCUGAAAAAGAAGCUCCGGCUAAAUACGUGCCAGCAGCCGCGGUAAUACGUAUGGAGCAAGCGUUAUCCGGAUUUACUGGGUGUAAAGGGAGAGUAGGUGGCAGAGCAAGUCCGAAGUGAAAACCCAAAGCUCAACUAUGGGAAUGCUUUAGAAACUGUGUUUCUUGAGUGCUGGAGAGGCAAUCGGAAUUCCGUGUGUAGCGGUGAAAUGCGUAGAUAUACGGAGGAACACCAGUGGCGAAGGCGGAUUGCUGGACAGUAACUGACGCUGAGGCGCGAAAGCGUGGGGAGCAAACAGGAUUAGAUACCCUAGUAGUC